Molecule: ribosomal RNA, 253 nt
Filed under: uncultured bacterium
Lineage: Bacteria
Description: partial 16S ribosomal RNA
Rfam family: Bacterial small subunit ribosomal RNA
Source: RNAcentral
UACGUAGGGGGCUAGCGUUGUCCGGAAUCAUUGGGCGUAAAGAGCGUGUAGGCGGCCCGGUAAGUCCGCUGUAAAAGUCAAAGGCUCAACCUUUGAAUGUCAGUGGAUACUGCCGGGCUAGAGUCCGGAAGAGGCGAGUGGAACUCCUGGUGUAGCGGUGGAAUGCGCAGAUAUCAGGAAGAACACCAACGGCGAAGGCAGCUCGCUGGGACGGUACUGACGCUGAAACGCGAAAGCGUGGGGAGCGAACAGG